RNAcentral lists this ribosomal RNA (465 nucleotides) under uncultured bacterium. RNAcentral's name for it is "partial 16S ribosomal RNA". It matches the Rfam family "Bacterial small subunit ribosomal RNA", at positions 28 to 507 of the family's 1533-position model. The record is from RNAcentral.
GACGAACGCUGGCGGCGUGCUUAACACAUGCAAGUCGAACGGUGAACCUGCUUCGGUGGGGGAUCAGUGGCGAACGGGUGAGUAACACGUGGGCAACCUGCCCUCAGCUCUGGGAUAACUCCAAGAAAUUGGGGCUAAUACUGGUUAUGACCGCUGACCGCAUGGUCUGGUGGUGGAAAGAUUUAUCGGCUGGGGAUGGGCCCGCGGCCUAUCAGCUUGUUGGUGGGGUAGUGGCCUACCAAGGCGACGACGGGUAGCCGGCCUGAGAGGGUGACCGGCCACACUGGGACUGAGACACGGCCCAGACUCCUACGGGAGGCAGCAGUGGGGAAUAUUGCGCAAUGGGCGAAAGCCUGGCGCAGCGACGCCGCGUGGGGGAUGACGGCCUUCGGGUUGUAAACCUCUUUCAGCAGGGACGAAGCGAAAGUGACGGUACCUGCAGAAGAAGCACCGGCCAACUACGUG